GAUGAAGAAGCAGCGAAAUGCGAUAAGUAAUGUGAAUUGCAGAAUUCAGUGAAUCAUCGAAUCUUUGAACGCACAUUGCGCCCCUUGGUAUUCCGGGGGGCAUGCCUGUUCGAGCGUCAUUAUCACCCCUCAAGCUCAGCUUGGUGUUGGGGCCUGCCCGUCACAGGGCAGCCCUUAAAAGCAGUGGCGGUGCCAUCUGGCUCUACGCGUAGUAAUACUUCUCGCGACAGAGUCCCGGUGGUGUCCUGCCAGAACCCCCCAUAUUUUUAAUGAUUGACCUCGGAUCAGGUAGGGAUACCCGCUGAACUUAAGCAUAUCAAUAAGCGGAGGA
This 331-nucleotide unclassified non-coding RNA is filed under the name soil metagenome. Its description in RNAcentral is "partial contains 5.8S ribosomal RNA, internal transcribed spacer 2, and large subunit ribosomal RNA". The stretch from base 1 to 119 matches the Rfam family "5.8S ribosomal RNA", at positions 35 to 154 of the family's 154-position model. The record is from RNAcentral.